GACGAACCGUGCGAACGUUGUUCGGAAUCACUGGGCUUAAAGGGCGCGUAGGCGGCCCGCGAGGUCGGGGGUGAAAUCCCACGGCUCAACCGUGGAAGGGCCUCCGAUACCGGCGGGCUGGAGGAAGGUAGGGGUGCGCGGAACUUCUGGUGGAGCGGUGAAAUGCGUUGAUAUCAGAAGGAACGCCGGCGGCGAAAGCGGCGCACUGGACCUUUUCUGACGCUGAGGCGCAAAAGCCAGGGGAGCAAACGGG
This 253-nucleotide ribosomal RNA is filed under the name uncultured Zavarzinella sp. Its description in RNAcentral is "partial 16S ribosomal RNA". It matches the Rfam family "Bacterial small subunit ribosomal RNA", at positions 524 to 776 of the family's 1533-position model. Lineage: Bacteria; Pseudomonadati; Planctomycetota; Planctomycetia; Gemmatales; Gemmataceae. The record is from RNAcentral.